RNAcentral lists this ribosomal RNA (468 nucleotides) under uncultured bacterium. Its description in RNAcentral is "partial 16S ribosomal RNA". It matches the Rfam family "Bacterial small subunit ribosomal RNA", at positions 28 to 507 of the family's 1533-position model. The record is from RNAcentral.
GACGAACGCUGGCGGCGUGCUUAACACAUGCAAGUCGAACGGAAAGGCCCUGCUUUUGUUGGGUGCUCGAGUGGCGCACGGGUGAGUAACACGUGAGUAACCUGCCCUUGACUUUGGGAUAACUUCAGGAAACUGGGGCUCAUACCGGAUAGGAUCUCCUGCUGCAUGGUGGGGGUUGGAAAGUUUCGGCGGUUGUGGCUGGACUCGCGGCUUAUCAGCUUGUUGGUGGGGUAGUGGCUUACCAAGGCUUUGACGGGUAGCCGGCCUGAGAGGGUGACCGGGGACAUGGGGACUGAGAUAGGGCCCAGAAUCGAACGGGAGGCAGCAGGGGGGAAUAUUGCAGAAUGGGGGGAAGCGAGAGACAGAAACGCCGGGUGCGGGAUGACGGCCUUCGGGGUGUAAACCGCUGUCGACGGAGACGAAGCGUGAGUGACGGUAAUGGGUAAAGAAGCAACGGCUAACUACGUG